Jaculus jaculus (lesser Egyptian jerboa) is the source of this 1026-nucleotide long non-coding RNA. RefSeq lists it as uncharacterized. The transcript has 4 exons. The record is from RefSeq and is a predicted model, not a curated record. NCBI's taxonomy places the organism in Eukaryota, Metazoa, Chordata, Mammalia, Rodentia, Dipodidae.
AUUUUUCAUGUGGUUCCCUGCAGGCAUUUUCAGUGACAAUGAGCAUGACCUUCUGGAGUCAUCCCAGAACCCAGAACAAAGACUGGCUUGUUGUCAGCCUCUGACUGACCUCCGGGUGCAGUGAGGGACAUAUUGGACCUCUCUCUACAUCAUAUUUACCAGCUACAUGUGGGUCAUAACAAUGCCUCUUUCUAUUAAAUCAUUGAAUUAUCCUCCUGGUACCAACAGAAGUGGUACCCUGGAAAAGUCUGUCUUUCAUCCCUCAGCUCCAUCUCCUCCUGUACAACAUGAGAAUGCAUUUCCCUCCCUGUGGGUCUGUGCACACGCAAGCAUGCGAAGGUGUGUGUGGAGGUCAGAGGACAACGUUGUUACCGGCUCAGAGAUCUCAGCCCAGACCUUCCUCUCUCCCCUGCCACUUGGUCCUGAGGCUUGGAAACUACUUCUUGUAAUAGCAAUUGCGACUACAAAGGUCUCCCUUCCCUGACAGAGCAGCGGGAGGUUCAGUCAACCUGGUGACUUCAGGGUCUUUCCUGUUCCCCGUGUCCCCCAUCCUUUCCCCCAAAGGGCUUGCAAACCUUGUACCUUGCACACUCAUGGUGUUCUCUCCCUGGACUUUUCCUGCCCUAAGGUGCAGGACUACUUUCUCCCUCCCUCCCUCCCUCUCUCUCUCUUUCUCUCUCUCUCUCUCACUAUUUUCUCACUCUGUUGUCCCCCUCAGGGUUCAGAUUCCCACUUCCACCCUCCAGCUCCACGUUCCCCACUCCCAUCCUCUGCCUGGGUUUGUCAGAUUUUCCAUCUACCUGUCUCUCUUGCUUUGCCACCAAGUUAGGUCCCAUCUCCUUCCCUUGCACGCCCAUUCCAGGACAGGCCAUACUCUGGCUGGCAUUAAGCUCAACGUUCCCUGCCCCUGGAUUCCCAGGUCCAGAGUUUUGUCACUUCCAUUCUGAACCACGCAGCUCUCCUGCAGAUGUGAAAAAAACUUCCUUUGCCCAGGAAAGCUACCAUCUCAGCCCUUAAUUUCCAAAC